CCCCCCGGACGUGGCCCCGCCCCUUUUCCCGUUCCGCUCCCGACCCGGCGCCGCUCCCGCAGCCGCUCCCAGUGCUCCCAGUACCCCCCCGGAGCCCUCCCAGUACCCCCCCAGCGCUCCCAGGAUCCCCCGGGACCCCCCCAGGACCCCCCAGGACCCCCCAGUACCCCCCCAACUCCCUCCCAGUAGCUCCCAGUAGCUCCCAGUACCUCUCCAGUUCUCUCCCAGUGCUCUCCCAGUCCCCGCCAGCUCUCUCCCAGUCCCUCCCAGUAGCUCCCAGUCCCCCCCAGUAGCUCCCAGUAGCUCCCAGUACCCCUCCAGUUCUCUCCCAGUAGCUCUCAGUCUCUCCCAGUCCCCCCCAGCUCUCUCCCAGUCUCUCCCAGUAGCUCCCAGUUCUCUCCCAGCUCUCUCCCAGUCUCUCCCAGUCUCUCCCAGUAGCUCCCAGUUCUCUCCCAGCACUCUCCCAGUAACUCCCAGUCUCUCCCAGUCUCUCCCAGUCGCUCCCAGUUGCUCCCAGUUCUCUCCCAGUCUCUCCCAGUAACUCCCAGUUCUCUCCCAGCUCUCUCCCAGUCUCUCCCAGUUCUCUCCCACUCUCUCCCAGUCACUCCCAGUCCCCCCCAGUGCUCUCCCAGUCUCUCCCAGUAGCUCCCAGUUCUCCC
This is a long non-coding RNA of Poecile atricapillus (Black-capped chickadee), 659 nucleotides long. RefSeq lists it as uncharacterized. The transcript has 3 exons. NCBI's taxonomy places the organism in Eukaryota, Metazoa, Chordata, Aves, Passeriformes, Paridae. The record is from RefSeq and is a predicted model, not a curated record.